UUCUACGGAGAUCGGAUUCCGAUCGAACUUCUAUAGUGGACAGAUUUUGGGUGAACUCCUACGGCACACGAAAUCCAGCAACUGGAUCCUUCCAGCGGAUGAACCUCUCUAACGUCAUCCGACAUCCACGGUCGAUCGACCAUCUGUCGAAUUUUGUGCGAAACCGAACUUCGUCUACGAAAAGUCUCUGAUCGAGCUCCUACGGCAAGUGGCCCUUGCCUGCAGUAUUAACGCCCAAGGCACCCAACGGUAGAAGGUUCGCCAGCAACAUCCGAGCUCCUC
This 282-nucleotide long non-coding RNA is filed under the name Elaeis guineensis (African oil palm). RNAcentral describes it as "long non-coding RNA (EGUI_LNC032383)". Lineage: Eukaryota; Viridiplantae; Streptophyta; Magnoliopsida; Arecales; Arecaceae. The record is from RNAcentral.